RNAcentral lists this long non-coding RNA (335 nucleotides) under Homo sapiens (human). Its description in RNAcentral is "non-protein coding MEF2C-AS1:21". The record is from RNAcentral. Lineage: Eukaryota; Metazoa; Chordata; Mammalia; Primates; Hominidae.
AAGCGAGAAGAUCAGGAUUGUCAAUGCUGUCAUUGCUUUUACUGGAAUCCCCAGCACGAAUUGAAGGUCUCACUUUGCCACCUAGGCUGGAUGCAAUGCAACGGUAUGUUGAUCUUGGUUCACUGCAGCCUCAACCUCCUGAGCUCAUGUGAUCCUCCCACCUCAGUCCCCCACGUCGCUUGGAUUACAGGCCUGUGCCACCACACCUGGCUAACUUUUUUUGUAAUUUUUGUAGAGACAGGGUCUCACUAUGUUUCCCAUGCUGGUCUUUAAUGCCUGAGCUCAAGCCAUCCGCCUGCCUCGGCCUCCCAAAUUGCUGGGAUUACAGGCAUGAG